This 461-nucleotide ribosomal RNA is filed under the name uncultured bacterium. Its description in RNAcentral is "partial 16S ribosomal RNA". It matches the Rfam family "Bacterial small subunit ribosomal RNA", at positions 29 to 523 of the family's 1533-position model. The record is from RNAcentral.
AACGAACGCUGGCGGCAUGCUUAACACAUGCAAGCCGAACGGGCUUAUGGGGCUUGCUCCAUAAGUUAGUGGCAGACGGGUGAGUAACGCGUGGGAGUGUACCUUUUGGCUCGGAAUAACCUCGGGAAACUGAGGCUAAUACCGGAUAAGCCCGAGAGGGGAAAGAUUUAUCGCCGAAAGAGCAACCCGCGUUAGGUUAGGCAGUUGGUGGGGUAAUGGCCUACCAAGCCUACGAUCUAUAGCUGGUCUGAGAGGAUGAUCAGCCACACUGGGACUGAGACACGGCCCAGACUCCUACGGAAGGCAGCAGUGGGGAAUAUUGGACAAUGGGGGAAAACCUGAACCAGCAAUGACGCGUGAGUGAUGAAGGCCUUCGGGUUGUAAAGCUCUUUUGUCAGGGACGAUGAUGACGGUACCUGACGAAUAAGCUCCGACUAACUUCGUGCCAGCAGCCGCGGUAA